UCCUGAGUACUAAGGUCUAAUCUAAGUGGUAAGAGAAGCGGAGGCUCCCCUCAGUCCCCAGUUCCCCACUCUCUCUCCCCACCGAAUGCUCACCAGUUCCUUCUCCAGAAUCAUUACAAUACUCACUAGGGUUUUCAUUUCUGUGCUGUAUACCAAAACUUUAUUCUUUUUCUUCUUUUCUUUCCUGGGGUCGAGUACAUUUUCAUGUUUUACUUGCAAAGUGCUCAGAUCUUCGCAUCUUUUGCAGCUCCACUUAUCAAGGACAUGGGUGGGGCGGCUUGCAGUGGCUCAAGUUUGGGUAUUUCAUAGAGCAUAUACGGUGAAGCUCCAGUUUUUUUUUUAAUGCUUUCAUUGAGGUAAAACCUGAUUUCUUCCAAAGGAUAGGAGAAAUAUGGUCCGCAGUCAAUCUGCUGUUCUGUCUUGUCCUUGCUGUGGAGUUAAGUCGAUGUGAUUGGCGAGCUUUAUCAAUUGUUAUGGGUUCUUUCAGUCGUAGUUGUGAAAUUGUUGAAUCAAAUGACGAGAUGUGCUCAACUCGGCAUCCUCAAACAUGUUAUCAAGCAAAAAGACAUGAACGAGAGUGGCAACCUCCAGUAAAAAAAGGAUCUAAUAAGUCUUUAGAAGAUGAUAUCAAUAGGCUUUUUGAGGGAAUCAAUAUUAGGACUUCAAAGAGUCUGGAUCUCUCAGACCGUGCAAAUGCAGGGUUCUCCAGAAAAAAUGCCUCAAAGAAGCCAAUGAAGGUAGGUGUUUCUUAUUCACCAGGAAUUGGAUUUUCCGAUCCAGUGUCCUUGAAGCAGGCACUGAGGGGACUUUGUAUAUCUCAGGCAGCUGAAAUGGCUGCCCUCAAAAGAUUAUCAAAGCCACCAGGAUCUCCAGGGGUAUUGGAACCUGGAAGAAUUACAAACUUGUAUAGGUCUGUUGUAAUUGAAGCUGGGGAUUCUGGUCUUCCCUUAAGUGAUGUUAGAGAAGGCAAAGUUGAAAUAUCUUUGAAGCCUGAAGAAAGCACUUCGAAUUGCAUUGAGAGGGUUCACAGAUCCCUUCAAGAGCCGAAAAUGCCGUCUGCAACCCAAAGUGCCUACUCCUCCCCCCGUUUUGGUGUUAAACCCACCAUGAAAAGUGUAGAAAACUCUCCACUGCACCAUGCAAUUUCCCUUGCAUCAAGAAAAGUUGAGACCCAAGCAUCAGGAAAAAUGCGUAUUAAAGCAGAAAGCCAAGAGCCUAAGAGUGAGUCAGCUGGCCAAAGCACCCUUCCUUCUUCACAACCUGCUGUUGAGCCAAUCAUAGAGAAGAUGGGAUUAACUCAGAGAGAAAAUGAGAUUACAUCUACAUCCAGGGAAAUUGAGGUUCAGCCAUUGGAAAUGGUGCCCUCUCAGGGGGGAAACCAGAUUUUAAGUUCUUCUGUUCCUUCUCCUAGUUAUGCUGAUGGUAAGUCAAAGCUUGACAAGAACACUUCAGGCACUAACAAUGUUGCUAGUGGUCCAAAUAGGAAAGUUGGAACUUCAGUGAAAAUACUGGGCAAAUCUACACCUAAGAUAAGACGGAAGGGCAAGUUGCAAAUGGUUCCUCCAUCUAAUGCAUCAAAAACCAGGAAAGAAAGCAAGUCAACCAGAGCCACUGCCACUGCAUCGAAACCUGUUACCAGGAAUAAGAAUCUUGCUUUGAAGAAAACAAAGCAGGAGUCAUUAAUAGCGGCAGCUAAAUCCGACGCAGCUUGCGGAGUAUAUGGUGCUUUUGGUGAUAAUUCCAGCCAAUUAGUUUGCCAGAGAUGCAAGUGUUCCUUGAAAGAUGUGAAAGAGGAGCUGAGUAAGGAGUCUUCAUCACUUGCACAUUCAAAUUCUGCCUCCAUGGUUACCACAAAUAGUAGGACCUGUGAUACAAAUAAGCCUGGUCUCAUUUCAAAGGACUGUGAAAAUGCUAGCACUCCUGCUGGAAAAGGCAACAUGAUACCAAAAAUUAAAGAGAAAGGGGAUUUCUCACAAAGCUCAAAGAGUAGCAUGGGUGAGUACAGCAGUUGUACAAGCAUGAGUGAGGAGAGCACUGUAAGCGGGUCUAGUUGUGGCAAUAGACCACACAUGUCAAAAGAUGUAAGGUGGGAAGCCAUCAAUCUUGUGAAAAAGCAGCAUGGCUUCCUUGGUUUGAGCCAUUUUAAUUUAUUAAAGAAGCUUGGUUCUGGUGACAUUGGUACUGUAUAUCUUGCUGAACUGGUUGGAACAAACUCCCUGUUUGCCAUUAAGGUUAUGGAUAAUGAAUUUUUGGCAAGGAGAAAGAAGAUGCCGAGGGCACAAACUGAAAGAGAGAUUCUGAGAAUGCUGGAUCAUCCUUUUCUUCCUACUAUGUAUGCACAGUUCACCUCAGAUAACCUGUCAUGUUUGGUUAUGGAGUUUUGUCCAGGUGGAGAUCUGCAUGUUCUCCGCCAGAAGCAGCCAGGCAGAUAUUUUCCUGAAAAUGCAGCAAGGUUUUAUGUUGCUGAGGUUCUUCUUGCUCUGGAAUACUUGCAUAUGCUUGGCAUUGUGUAUCGUGAUUUAAAACCAGAAAACAUUUUGGUGCGAGAAGAUGGCCACAUCAUGCUUACGGAUUUUGACUUGUCACUUCGAUGUUCAGUAAACCCUACCCUUAUAAAGUCAUCUUCACUUGGGUUGGAGCCGCCAAGGAUAUCUGGUCCAUGCGCAGGAUCAAACUGCAUUGAUCCUUUUUGUGCUGCACCAUCAUGUAAAGUUUCAUGCUUUAGCCCUAGAAUUUUACCUGCAACUGCAAAAACAAGGAAACAGAAGGCUGAACAAGCAACCCCGUGUAGAUCUUUGCCACAGCUUGUGGCCGAGCCAACAGAGGCACGAUCCAACUCCUUUGUUGGUACUCACGAGUAUUUGGCUCCAGAAAUUAUUAAGGGAGAUGGCCAUGGGAGUGCUGUAGAUUGGUGGACGUUUGGUAUAUUUCUUUACGAGCUUUUGUAUGGAAAGACUCCCUUCAAAGGUUCUGGAAAUGAAGAGACAUUAGCCAAUGUGGUUUUGCAAAAUCUCAAGUUUCCAGACAGCCCAAUUGUUAGUUUUCAGGCAAGAGAUCUGAUCAGGGGGCUGUUAGUUAAAGAGCCAGAGAAUAGACUGGGGACAGAAACUGGAGCUGCGGAGAUCAAGCGGCAUCCAUUCUUUGAUGACCUCAAUUGGGCACUGAUACGCUGUGCUAUACCACCUAUAAUACCCGACUUUUGUGAUGUUGGAGUUCCAAAAGUAGUCUCUCAGGAUAAAGGAAAGAGAUUUCUCGAGUACAAUGCUACAGGAGAGCACUUGGAGUUUGAAUUGUUCUAGAGCAACUCAUUUCUAGGACAUGCUGUCUGUUUAGAAAUGUUUAGCAACAUACUGAAAUCGGCUGUGAUAUUUAUCUGGUCAAUAUUGCUCUUUCAUGGCCAAUUAUGCGAUGGCGAAUUCUUUGCCUGUAUAAGCAUGUCUCGCAGAGUGGCUACCUUGUUCAAAAUUGCGGUCUGAUGUCGAUUUUACUUAUCAGCCUUUGAAAGCAGGUUAAAUUAGACCAGUUAUUCAUCAGAAAUUGUCUCUGCAUUCUUGGUGCAACCAAGCUUAGUUGACAAUUAAGCAAAAAAAUUGUUGGAACAUAUUGCGCGCUUCAGGAACCUGCUUUUCCAUUGAAUGCUACACUUGGUUUGGGAGAUAGAAGUGUGCUACUCUUGGUUAUAUCCUGUUUUAGGGAAGAGUAAAGAUGAGAAAAGGGUUCCUCCAGCUGCUGUACCUUCUUUUAUUUGACAAAUUUAGAUCGAAAGACUCUUCUCUGUACCAAAGCUUCAAAAAUGGUAGAAGCAUAAACUUGAGAUUUUACAAUUUCUCCGUGAAGCUCCAGAAAAGUUGUUGUCUUUCUUCUUCUAUUUCAUCAUGGUCAAACUUCCGUCGUUUCUGGGAUCUAAGUCAUCUAACCAGACUUGCAAACUGUGAAAGAAAUGCCGCAUUGAGCAGAACAAAUCCUCCUGUUUCUCACUGUCCUCGACAUAAUACAGCCUCUGCAUCAUUAUGCUGUCUAUUAAUUUGCUUGUGUGUCAUCUUUAAUUCGAGCAUUUAGCAAGGCUGCCACUACAUCAAGGCUCACCUUUGUCAAUUUCAAUCUGGGACGAUAUCUGAAAUGCUGCUAAUUAGGGAGAUUUAGAUCAGCUGUCUGGAUUGAUUUCUUUCAUCUGCAAGUCCUGUGUGUUGUGUGUGUUGAACCGUACAUAUUCCGUCCUAGAUGCCAUUAGUGGCCCGUGUAUGAUUGACUUGACAAAACUUCCCAUGAUGCGUAACAGAAGAUUGUGCUGGUCCUGCAUCGGUCAUCUCCCGAGUUGUAUACUCGUUUGCCGGGGUUUUUCAAUGGGGUAAAACGUUAGACCAUUUUUCAUCAGCAAGUCUAGAACAGACCGCCUCAUCCUUUUGCCGGAAAGGAAGAAGAGUUAGGGCUCGUUUGUUUCGGGUGAAAAUCUUUUCGGGAAAAACAUUUUCCUAGAUUCCGGUGUUUGG
Non-coding RNA from Coffea arabica (coffee), 4490 nucleotides. NCBI's taxonomy places the organism in Eukaryota, Viridiplantae, Streptophyta, Magnoliopsida, Gentianales, Rubiaceae. The record is from RefSeq and is a predicted model, not a curated record.